Molecule: long non-coding RNA, 895 nt
Organism: Oncorhynchus tshawytscha (Chinook salmon)
Lineage: Eukaryota; Metazoa; Chordata; Actinopteri; Salmoniformes; Salmonidae
Source: Ensembl
CCCUCCUACCUGCACUGUGGGAAUGCCCGGUUGUGCACCCCCCUAUGGGACAAAGCCUUACAGUGCAUGGGAGAUGGCCUUGGAUCCCAGGUACCUACAGUAGGUCACCAAAACUGUGUCUGCUGAGUGACAAGGCUGAAAUAAGAGGGAUUAAACGAACAAAAGGUCAAAUACAAUGUUUAGGUAUUGUGUCUGUGUUAAGGCUUGUCCUGAAACAUUGGAAGAGCUCCAGUGUUCACACAGUGGAUGAAUCUGUUGAUACAAAACAACAGCGUAUGAAAUCGUGUUUGCGAAGAGGCUGGAGGAAAAUAAUACAGACUGUGUUUCCUUAAGGGUACAUAGAGGCGUGUAGAGGCGACAGGUAGUCUAGUGGUUAGAGUGUAGAGGUGGCAAGGUAGCCUAGUGGUUAGAGUGUAGAGGCGGCAGGUAGCCUAGUGGUUAGAGUGUAGAGGCGGCAGGGUAGCCUAGUGGUUAGAGUGUAGAGGCGGCAGGUAGCCUAGUGGUUAGAGUGUAGAGGCGACAGGUAGCCUAGUGGUUACAGUGUAGAGGCGGCAGGUAGCCUAGUGGUUAGAGCGUUGGGCUAGUAACCAAAAGGUUGCAAGUUCAAAUCCCGAGCUGACAAGGUACAAAUCUGUCGUUCUGCCCCUGAACAGGCAGUUAACCCACUGUUCCUAGCGUGUCAUUGAAAAUAAGAAUUUGUUCUUAACUGACUUGCCUUGUAAAAUAAAUGUUUUUUUUGUUUUGUUUAAUGAGUUUAUUAUUUUUGAAAGCUGUAAUUUGUAUUUAUAAAAUACUUUUCUGUACAAUAUUAUUUAUAGCUGCUCACCAUAUUGUGGCCCCCUUUCACCAUACAUUGGUAUCAGUCUGAUGGCACUAUGGUGUGAAAAGAGCGGCC